This 221-nucleotide ribosomal RNA is filed under the name uncultured soil bacterium. RNAcentral's name for it is "partial 16S ribosomal RNA". It matches the Rfam family "Bacterial small subunit ribosomal RNA", at positions 26 to 245 of the family's 1533-position model. The record is from RNAcentral.
AGGACGAACGCUGGCGGCGUGCUUAACACGUGCAAGUCGAGCGGUAAGGCCUUUCGGGGUACACGAGCGGCGAACGGGUGAGUAACACGUGGGUGAUCUGCCCUGCACUCUGGGAUAAGCCUGGGAAACUGGGUCUAAUACCGGAUAUGACCUGCUCUCGCAGUGGGGGGUGGGUGGAAAGUAUUUAUCGGUGCGAGGAUCGGGGCCCGCGGCCUAUCAGU